CCUACGGGAGGCAGCAGUGGGGGAUAUUGCACAAUGGGGGGAACCCUGAUGCAGCGACGCCGCGUGGGUGAAGAAGCGCCUCGGCGCGUAAAGCCCUGUCAGCAGGGAAGAAAAUGACGGUACCUGAAGAAGAAGCCCCGGCUAACUACGUGCCAGCAGCCGCGGUAAUACGUAGGGGGCAAGCGUUAUCCGGAUUUACUGGGUGGAAAGGGGGAGGAGACGGCGAUGCAAGCCAGGAGUGAAAGCCCGGGGCCCAACCCCGGGACUGCUCUUGGAACUGCGUGGCUGGAGUGCAGGAGGGGCAGGCGGAAUUCCUGGUGUAGCGGUGAAAUGCGUAGAUAUCAGGAGGAACACCGGUGGCGAAGGCGGCCUGCUGGACUGCAACUGACGUUGAGGCCCGAAAGCGUGGGGAGCAAACAGGAUUAGAUACCCCUGUAGUC
This 440-nucleotide ribosomal RNA is filed under the name uncultured bacterium. RNAcentral describes it as "partial 16S ribosomal RNA". It matches the Rfam family "Bacterial small subunit ribosomal RNA", at positions 338 to 795 of the family's 1533-position model. The record is from RNAcentral.